RNAcentral lists this ribosomal RNA (449 nucleotides) under uncultured bacterium. RNAcentral's name for it is "bacterial SSU rRNA". It matches the Rfam family "Bacterial small subunit ribosomal RNA", at positions 330 to 793 of the family's 1533-position model. The record is from RNAcentral.
ACCAGACUCCUACGGGAGGCAGCAGUGGGGAAUAUUGCACAAUGGGGGAAACCCUGAUGCAGCGACGCCGCGUGAGCGAAGAAGUAUUUCGGUAUGUAAAGCUCUAUCAGCAGGGAAGAAAAAAAUGACGGUACCUGAGUAAGAAGCACCGGCUAAAUACGUGCCAGCAGCCGCGGUAAUACGUAUGGUGCAAGCGUUAUCCGGAUUUACUGGGUGUAAAGGGAGCGUAGGCGGCGCGUUAAGUCUGAUGUGAAAUCCCGAGGCUCAACCACGGGAGUGCAUUGGAAACUGGCGGGCUGGAGUGCCGGAGAGGUAAGCGGAAUUCCUAGUGUAGCGGUGAAAUGCGUAGAUAUUAGGAGGAACACCAGUGGCGAAGGCGGCUUACUGGACGGCAACUGACGCUGAGGCUCGAAAGCGUGGGGAGCAAACAGGAUUAGAUACCCCCGUAA